CCUACGGGAGGCAGCAGUGGGGGAUAUUGCUCAAUGGGGGAAACCCUGAAGCAGCAACGCCGCGUGAAGGAUGAAGGCUUUCGGAUUGUAAACUCCUUUUUUUAGAGAAGCUAAUGACGGUAUCUGACCAAUAAUCACCGGCUAACUACGUGCCAGCAGCCGCGGUAAUACGGAGGGUGCAAGCGUUACUCGGAAUCACUGGGCGUAAAGCGCGCGUAGGCGGGUUAGCAAGUCAGAUGUGAAAUCCUACGGCUUAACCAUAGAACUGCAUGUGAAACUGUGAAUCUGGAGUAUGGGAGAGGUAGGCGGAAUUCUUGGUGUAGGGGUGAAAUGCGUAGAGAUCAAGAGGAACACCGAUGGCGAAGGCGACCUGCUAGAAUGUAACUGACGUUGAUGCGCGAAAGCGUGGGGAGCAAACAGGAUUAGAUACCCCUGUAGUC
RNAcentral lists this ribosomal RNA (440 nucleotides) under uncultured bacterium. RNAcentral describes it as "partial 16S ribosomal RNA". It matches the Rfam family "Bacterial small subunit ribosomal RNA", at positions 338 to 795 of the family's 1533-position model. The record is from RNAcentral.